RNAcentral lists this ribosomal RNA (253 nucleotides) under uncultured bacterium. Its description in RNAcentral is "partial 16S ribosomal RNA". It matches the Rfam family "Bacterial small subunit ribosomal RNA", at positions 524 to 776 of the family's 1533-position model. The record is from RNAcentral.
GACAGGGGAUGCAAGCGUUAUCCGGAAUGAUUGGGCGUAAAGCGUCUGUAGGUGGCUUUUUAAGUUCGCCGUCAAAUCCCAGGGCUCAACCCUGGACAGGUGGUGGAAACUACCAAGCUAGAGUACGGUAGGGGCAGAGGGAAUUUCCGGUGGAGCGAUGAAAUGUGUAGAGAUCGGAAGGAACACCCAAGGCGAAAGCACUCUGCUGGGCCGACACUGACACUGAGGCGCGAAAGCCAGGGGAGCGAACGGG